RNAcentral lists this ribosomal RNA (465 nucleotides) under Vreelandella stevensii. RNAcentral describes it as "partial 16S ribosomal RNA". It matches the Rfam family "Bacterial small subunit ribosomal RNA", at positions 338 to 795 of the family's 1533-position model. The record is from RNAcentral. Lineage: Bacteria; Pseudomonadati; Pseudomonadota; Gammaproteobacteria; Oceanospirillales; Halomonadaceae.
CCUACGGGAGGCAGCAGUGGGGAAUAUUGGACAAUGGGGGGAACCCUGAUCCAGCCAUGCCGCGUGUGUGAAGAAGGCCCUCGGGUUGUAAAGCACUUUCAGUGAGGAAGAACGCCUGGUGGUUAAUACCCAUCAGGAAAGACAUCACUCACAGAAGAAGCACCGGCUAACUCCGUGCCAGCAGCCGCGGUAAUACGGAGGGUGCGAGCGUUAAUCGGAAUUACUGGGCGUAAAGCGCGCGUAGGUGGCUUGAUAAGCCGGUUGUGAAAGCCCCGGGCUCAACCUGGGAACGGCAUCCGGAACUGUCAAGCUAGAGUGCAGGAGAGGAAGGUAGAAUUCCCGGUGUAGCGGUGAAAUGCGUAGAGAUCGGGAGGAAUACCAGUGGCGAAGGUGGCCUUCUGGACUGACACUGACACUGAGGUGCGAAAGCGUGGGUAGCAAACAGGAUUAGAUACCCUGGUAGUC